GCUUUCGUAGUGUAGUGGUCAGCACGUUCGACGUGAAUUAGAGAGGUCCUUGGUUCGAGUCCCGGCGAGAGCA
This 73-nucleotide transfer RNA is filed under the name Stegodyphus dumicola. RNAcentral's name for it is "tRNA-Ser". It matches the Rfam family "tRNA". Rfam says of the family: Transfer RNA (tRNA) molecules are approximately 80 nucleotides in length. Their secondary structure includes four short double-helical elements and three loops (D, anti-codon, and T loops). Lineage: Eukaryota; Metazoa; Arthropoda; Arachnida; Araneae; Eresidae. The record is from RNAcentral.